RNAcentral lists this ribosomal RNA (405 nucleotides) under uncultured bacterium. RNAcentral's name for it is "partial 16S ribosomal RNA". It matches the Rfam family "Bacterial small subunit ribosomal RNA", at positions 30 to 526 of the family's 1533-position model. The record is from RNAcentral.
AUUGAACGCUGGCGGCAGGCUUUACACAUGCAAGUCGAACGAGUGGCGGACGGGUGAGUAAUGCAUCGGAAUCUGGCUUAUGGCGGGGGAUAACGACGGGAAACUGUCGCUAAUACCGCGUACCAUAGGAUGAGCCCAAGUGGGAUUAGGUAGUUGGUGGGGUAAAGGCCUACCAAGCCGACGAUCUCUAGCUGGUCUGAGAGGAGGACCAGCCACACCGGGACUGAGACACGGCCCGGACUCCUACGGGAGGCAGCAGUGGGGAAUAUUGGGCAAUGGGGGCAACCUGACCCAGCCAUCCCGCGUGUAUGAAGAAGGCCUUCGGGUUGUAAAGUUCUUUCGGUGGAGAGGCGUUAACUACAGAAUAAGCACCGGCUAACUCCGUGCCAGCCGCCGCGGUAAUUC